UCUCAUUCCAGAGCCUGUGCUGGUAACUGUUACACUUAAAAGCUGCUUGGAUCUGCUAAAUUUCCGUUUCUUGCCAGUGAACAGUGGCUUUUUUUCCUGCCCUGAGCAGUCAUCGUUAAUCCUUCAGGGCAGCUGAGAAGUAUCUUAAUCAGGACCUCUGACCUUGUCAUUCAUUCUUUUACUUACUGUUCAGUUAGCUGCAGGCACCCCAAGGAAUGGAAAUGGAGCUGCCUAGGACUUCAGAGGAGAGACCAAGCCAGAGACACCACCCAAAGACCUCUCGGAAUGUUUUUGUUCCGGGAGUUAUGGUACAAUCAAAUGAAUUCAUCUUCGCAGUGAAACCAAUGGAUGAAAAGGUACUUCCUCGUAUCCUGGAGUUAAGGCAAUACUCAGGGUUCACCCACCUGGAAGCCAUAAUGACCUGGGGAUGGGGAGGCCUGGUCACUUAAGACAUGGCAUAUGCUGUCUGGCUGAUGAAAAUCCCCAGUACUCCUGACUGUUACCCAUGACUUGCUGCCUUCCAGGUAUGUGAAUUCUUGGGUCCUAUGUAGCAUAUCCAGUUCUGCAAAAUAUACGUGCAUAUGCAUGAAAUGUUACCAUAAGUUUUCUCAGAAUAGUGGGAUAAUGGGUGAUUUUCAUUUUCUUCUAGUUUU
Molecule: long non-coding RNA, 653 nt
Filed under: Vulpes vulpes (red fox)
Lineage: Eukaryota; Metazoa; Chordata; Mammalia; Carnivora; Canidae
Description: lncRNA (ENSVVUG00000021109.1)
Source: RNAcentral